AUGUGGAAUGAUGAGCUUCAAGUUCAUGUGAAUACGGCUUCCUUCUAUGUUAUCUUAGCGAAUGUAGUUCAUAUAGCUACCGGUAGAGAUUUUGGUCUAGUUUGCAUCUAUGGUGAUCCUUAUCACAGACAAACUGAUGUGAUUUGGGAUCAGAUUUCAAAUUUUGUGUAUGAUAACCCUGGGAAGCCUAUGUUAUGUAUGGGAGAUCUCAAUGAACUUUUGUAUGAUGUGGAUAAAAGUAAUGCUAAUGUGAAUUAUCGUCGCCUGUAUGCUUUU
This 276-nucleotide ribosomal RNA is filed under the name Triticum aestivum (bread wheat). Its description in RNAcentral is "partial small subunit ribosomal RNA". The record is from RNAcentral. Lineage: Eukaryota; Viridiplantae; Streptophyta; Magnoliopsida; Poales; Poaceae.